This is a long non-coding RNA of Alosa alosa (allis shad), 435 nucleotides long. RefSeq lists it as uncharacterized. The record is from RefSeq and is a predicted model, not a curated record. The transcript has 2 exons. NCBI's taxonomy places the organism in Eukaryota, Metazoa, Chordata, Actinopteri, Clupeiformes, Clupeidae.
UUAACUUCCGCUUUAUUGGGUUUGUGUAUCUUUUACUGUACCACUGGUAACAAUGGCACCUACAACCAGCAAAAUACAAUUAAACCUAAUGAACAGAAGGAAGUUGGGCUCGGGUUGCUGUGCUGUGGGGUGCAACCUCACGUCCGGAACAAAUGCCAUUUCCAAGAUUAAAAUGUUCCGAUUCCCGAAAGAAGAGAGGAGAAGGAAAGCCUGGAUUACGGCAGUAAAAAGAGAGGCAUGGAAGCCUGGAAAAAAUUCAAGAAUAUGCAGCACACAUUUUGUGUCAGAUUUCUCCAUAGAAACAGAAAGAGAAUAGAACCAUCAUCAGCCCCAUUCUUUUGCACUCACAAUUCCCUGACUCCCGGAGGAACCAAAUGAUGCUUAUCGCUAUGGAUACCGUUCAACAAACUAAACAUGCCAUCUGUGGCCCCACAA